UUUGGACAAGCUACUAAGGGUCCGAGGUGGAUGCCUAGGCACCAAGAGCCGAAGAAGGACGUGGCUACCUGCGAUAAGCGACGGGAAGCUGGAAGCGAGCGUUGAUCCGUCGAUUUCCGAAUGGGGCAACCCGGCUGGAGUAAUGUCCAGUCACUCCUGGUUGAACACAUAGACCAGGUAGAGGGCACCCGGGGAACUGAAACAUCUUAGUACCCGGAGGAAAAGAACAUUCCGUCAGUAGAGGCGAUCGAAAGCGGAGCAGCCUAAACCAUGCGCGUGCCAAGGCGGCAGCCGUUGCGCGCGUGGCGUUGUGGGAUCGUUCGGUGAGCUCUGCCGAGCUCACGCGGAGUUACAAAACCGGCGUCUAGCCGAAGUUGGUGGAAACCAACGCCACAGAGGGUGAGAGCCCUGUAGGCGAAAGGCGACCGGUCUCCGGAGCGACACCCGAGUACCCCGGGACACGCGGAAUCCUGGGGGAAUCCACGCAGACCACUGCGUAAGGCUAAAUACUUUUGGUGACCGAUAGUGAAGAGUACCGUGAGGGAAAGGUGAAAAGAACCCCGGAAGGGGAGUGAAAUAGAACCUGAAACCUUGGACCUACAAACUGUCAAAGGCCCAGGUGUAUUUGCGCAAGCGAAUGCACGGGCUGAUGGCGUGCCUUUUGUAGAAUGAGCCGGCGAGUUACUGUACGUGGCAAGGCUAAGGGGGUGACACCCGGAGCCGCAGCGAAAGCGAGUCUGAAUAGGGCGUUGCCACGCAAGUGGUGGAAGUCGCGUGCAGUAGACCCGAAACCUGGUGACCUACCCUUGGUCAGGGUGAAGCGAGGGUAAAACCUCGUGGAGGCCCGAACCGACUUAGGUUACAAACUGAGCGGAUGAACUGAGGGUAGCGGUGAAAUGCCAAUCGAACCAGGAGAUAGCUGGUUCUCCUCGAAAUGCCUUUAGGGGCAGCGUUGUUGUGGGCUGUCGCAGGUAGAGCACUGAAUGGGCUAGGGGCGGUUCCCCCGUUACCAAACCCAACCAAACUCCGAAUGGCGGCAGGUUAUACAACAGCAGUGAGACCGUGGGGGCUAAGCUUCACGGUCAAAAGGGAAACAACCCAGACCAUCGGCUAAGGUCCCUAAAUCGAGACUAAGUGGCAAAGGAGGUCACUUUGCUUAGACAACCAGGAGGUGGGCUUAGAGGCAGCCACCCUUUAAAGAGUGCGUAACAGCUCACUGGUCGAGUGAAGUGGCGCCGAAAAUGAUCGGGGCUCAAGUCUCGUACCGAAGCCAUGGAGCGCGCAGCAAUGCGCGUUGGUAGAGGAGCGUUGUGCGGGCGGUGAAGCAUGAACGUAAGUCCGUGUGGAGCGCGCACAAGUGCGAAUGCCGGCACAAGUAGCGUAAAGGUCGGUGAGAAACCGGCCCGCCGUAAAUCUAAGGUUUCCUGGGCAACGUUAAUCGUCCCAGGGUUAGUCGGGCCUAAGCCGAGGCCGAAAGGCGUAGGCGAUGGACAACUGGUGCAUAUUCCAGUACCACCUCGCGUUCGUUACCACCGAUGGAGGGACGAAGGAGGGUAGGUCAACCGGUCGAUUGGAUGUGGCCGGCCAAGGCUGUAGGUAGCCCGGAUAGGCAAAUCCGUUCGGGCGUUAAUCUGAGAGCCGAUGGGGAGCUCCGGGCAACCGGAGCGAAGUGACUGAUCCCAAGCUUCCGAGAAAAGCUUCUAGGGAGAAUGCAGGUGCCCGUACCGCAAACCGACGCUGGUAGAUGGGAAGAGGAUUCCAAGGCGAUCGAGAGAACUCUGCCUAAGGAACUCGGCAAAAUAGCCCCGUAACUUCGGGAGAAGGGGUGCCCUUGGCCGUGUAGGAACUUGCUUCCGAAGCGGUCGAGGGUCGCAGCUAAGAGGCUCAACCGACUGUUUACUAAAAACACAGGUCUCUGCGAAACCGAAAGGUGACGUAUAGGGGCUGACGCCUGCCCGGUGCCGGAAGGUUAAGGAGAGGGCUGAGAGGCCUGAACUGAAGCCCCGGUAAACGGCGGCCGUAACUAUAACGGUCCUAAGGUAGGAAAAAAGCUGCCUUACCCAUGGGUGACCAUGGGGUUGAAAAGCAUCUGGCUAUUUGCUGGAAAAACUGGUGUAUCCGCCGGUACUCGUCGCGUGCAGACGCGCGCGUCAGUGACAAUCCGAGCGGUGCAGAAAAUCAGCAGGAAAGGCUGGCUCCCUUUGUUUGGAAGUCAGAAUCCUCAGAGACCAUACGCCAGACAUCUCGGCACAGCUGAGAUGAAGAUAUGGUCCCAUCUGCAUGGCGACAUGCAGCGAGCGGUGGAACGCCACCAUCGUUCACUCAAUCAAACGUGAUUGGGAAGAGCAUCAGCGAAAUUCCUUGUCGGGUAAGUUCCGACCCGCACGAAUGGCGUAACGAGUUGAGCGCUGUCUCGGGCAGAGACUCGGCGAAACUGCAAUACCUGUGAAGAUACAGGUUACCCGCGGCAGGACGGAAAGACCCCGUGGAGCUUUACUGCAACUUGGCAUUGAAUUGGGGCUUAGCCUGUAGAGGAUAGCUGGGAGACUAUGAAGCUCGGGCGCCAGCUCGGGUGGAGUCAACCUUGGAAUACCAGCCUGGUUAAGUCUCAGUUCUAACAGGGACCCUGAUCGGGUUUCUGGACAGUGCCUGGUAGGCAGUUUGACUGGGGCGGUCGCCUCCCAAAGAGUAACGGAGGCGCCCAAAGGUUCCCUCAGCCUGGAUGGAAAUCAGGCAUAGAGUGCAAUGGCACAAGGGAGCUUGACUGUGAGACUUACUAGUCGAGCAGGGACGAAAGUCGGGCAUAGUGAUCCGACGGCCCGGAGUGGAAUGGCCGUCGCUCAACGGAUAAAAGUUACCCCGGGGAUAACAGGCUUAUCGGGCCCAAGAGUUCACAUCGACGGCCCGGUUUGGCACCUCAAUUUGGGGUGACACGGCAGAAAUGCCGUGCAAGAAUCGGCUUAUAACGGUGAACCCCUAACCGCUGCUCAGCGGUGGGCGAUACCGUGGGAAGUCUGUCGGAAGCCGGCCAGCUGAAUGUUUCAGAUGGCUUCCGCAAGUGACCCCGUAACGACUGUGGUCGGAAACGACCACGGUGGCGGCUCCUGCCCAGCAGGUUGGGCAAAUUCAUAGCCGUCACAACACGCCGACCCCUCGCUUUGGUCGAGCAGGGUGAAGAUAUAGUCUGCGCUGCCGGAAACGGCAGAGAACGCGCGAUGUCGGCUCGUCGCAUCCUGGGGCUGGAGUCGGUCCCAAGGGUUGGGCUGUUCGCCCAUUAAAGCGGUACGCGAGCUGGGUUUAGAACGUCGUGAGACAGUUCGGUCCCUAUCCGCCGUGGGCGUAGGAGACUUGAGGAGGUUUGACCCUAGUACGAGAGGACCGGGUUGAACGGACCGCUAGUGUACCGGUUGUCGCGCCAGCGGCAGCGCCGGGUAGCCAUGUCCGGUUUGGAUAAGCGCUGAAAGCAUCUAAGCGCGAAGCCAGCUUCGAGAUAAGGUCUCCCACCGGAUAACCGGGUAAGGCCCCUGGUAGACCACCAGGUUGAUAGGCCGCAGGUGUAAGAGGAGUGAUCCUUUGAGCUGAGCGGUACUAAUAGGCCGAGGGCUUGUCCACCUAUAAC
RNAcentral lists this ribosomal RNA (3619 nucleotides) under Chloroflexota bacterium. RNAcentral describes it as "Chloroflexi bacterium 23S ribosomal RNA". It matches the Rfam family "Bacterial large subunit ribosomal RNA". Lineage: Bacteria; Bacillati; Chloroflexota. The record is from RNAcentral.